GACAAUGUGGUGUAGUGGUUUGAAUGCUGGCUAGGAUUGUAGGAGACUUGGGUUCAAAUCCCCACAUAGCCA
Non-coding RNA from Phrynosoma platyrhinos (Desert horned lizard), 72 nucleotides. NCBI's taxonomy places the organism in Eukaryota, Metazoa, Chordata, Lepidosauria, Squamata, Phrynosomatidae. The record is from the annotation of a GenBank genome assembly.